This 68-nucleotide transfer RNA is filed under the name Marmota monax (woodchuck). RNAcentral describes it as "tRNA.Ala". The record is from RNAcentral. Lineage: Eukaryota; Metazoa; Chordata; Mammalia; Rodentia; Sciuridae.
GCUGUGGCUCAGUGGUAAAGUGCUCUUCUAGCAUGUGUGAGGUGCUGGGUUCAAUUCUCAGCACUGCA